Molecule: ribosomal RNA, 301 nt
Filed under: uncultured bacterium
Lineage: Bacteria
Description: partial 16S ribosomal RNA
Rfam family: Bacterial small subunit ribosomal RNA
Source: RNAcentral
CAGUCGCCGCGGUAAUACGAAGGGGGCAAGCGUUGUUCGGAAUUACUGGGCGUAAAGGGCGCGUAGGCGGAUCUUUAAGUCAGGGGUGAAAUCCCGAGGCUCAACCUCGGAACUGCCUUUGAUACUGGAGAUCUUGAGUCCGGGAGAGGUGAGUGGAACUGCGAGUGUAGAGGUGAAAUUCGUAGAUAUUCGCAAGAACACCAGUGGCGAAGGCGGCUCACUGGCCCGGUACUGACGCUGAGGCGCGAAAGCGUGGGGAGCAAACAGGAUUAGAUACCCCUGUAGUCCCUGUCUCUUAUAC